RNAcentral lists this long non-coding RNA (1212 nucleotides) under Citrus x clementina. Its description in RNAcentral is "Citrus clementina (C. clementina) long non-coding RNA (CCLE_LNC004918)". Lineage: Eukaryota; Viridiplantae; Streptophyta; Magnoliopsida; Sapindales; Rutaceae. The record is from RNAcentral.
ACGGCUCCCCCCCCAUCCCGAUGCCCCCGGACCGCUGGUCCCGUGGGACCAAACGGAAACGGAAUCGGAGGCCCGGAUCAUGAGUUACGGCCGAAACCGGCAAAGCCUACUAAGCGGCCCCCGAUCUUGCCCUUUUUUCGCCGUUCAAACUGCCGCGCGGCUACCCCCCCAUCCCGAUGCCCCCGGACCGCUGGUCCCGUGGGACGAAACGGAAACGGAAUCGGGGGCCCCGAUCAUGAGUUACGGCCCCUUCUUUGCGGCCCCCGAGGUCGUGCGCUAUAGCCCCCCGGGCGCCCCCGCCGCCGACCGCACCCGCCCGAACCCGACCACCUCACCCGCCGUGUACCGAUCCCGCCCCGCGGUACCCCCCGGGGCAUGAACCGCCCACCGGGGGGCCGAAACCGGCAAAACAGGCCGAACGGCCCCGAUCUUACCCAUUUUUCGGCGAUCAAACCGCCGCACGGCUCCCCCCCCAUCCCGAUGCCCCCGGACCGCUGGUCCCGUGGGACCAAACGGAAACGGAAUCGGAGGCCCGGAUCAUGAGUUACGGCCGAAACCGGCAAAGCCUACUAAGCGGCCCCCGAUCUUGCCCAUUUUUCGCCGUUCAAACUGCCGCGCGGCUACCCCCCCAUCCCGAUGCCCCCGGACCGCUGGUCCCGUGGGACCAAACGGAAACGGAAUCGGGGGCCCCGAUCAUGAGUUACGGCCCCUUCUUUGCGGCCCCCGAGGCCGUGCGCUAUAGCCCCCCGGGCGCCCCCGCCGCCGACCGCACCCGCCCGAACCCGACCACCUCACCCGCCGUGUGCCGAUCCCGCCCCGCGGUCCCCCCCGGGGGGUCAAACCCCCGCAAGGGGGGCCGAACGGCCCCGAUCUUACCCAUUUGUCGGCGAUCGAACCAUCUUCACGGCUCUCCCCCCCCAUCCCGAUGCCCCCCGGACCGCUGGUCCCGUGGGGACAAACGGGACCGGGAGUCCGAGCCCUGAUCAUGAGUUACGGCCGAAACCGGCAGAGCCUACUAAGCGGCCCCCGAUCUUGCCCAUUUUUCGCCGUUCAAACUGCCGCGCGGCUACCCCCCCAUCCCGAUGCCCCCGGACCGUUGGUCCCGUGGGACGAAACGGAAACGGAAUCGGGGACCCCGAUCAUGAGUUACGGCCCCUUCUUUAUGGCCCCCGAGGCCGUGCGCUAUAGCCCCCCGGGCGCCCCGCCGCCGAC